Molecule: transfer RNA, 69 nt
Filed under: marine eukaryotic metagenome
Rfam family: tRNA
About the family: Transfer RNA (tRNA) molecules are approximately 80 nucleotides in length. Their secondary structure includes four short double-helical elements and three loops (D, anti-codon, and T loops). Further hydrogen bonds mediate the characteristic L-shaped molecular structure. tRNAs have two regions of fundamental functional importance: the anti-codon, which is responsible for specific mRNA codon recognition, and the 3' end, to which the tRNAs corresponding amino acid is attached (by aminoacyl-tRNA synthetases). tRNAs cope with the degeneracy of the genetic code in two manners: having more than one tRNA (with a specific anti-codon) for a particular amino acid; and 'wobble' base-pairing, i.e. permitting non-standard base-pairing at the 3rd anti-codon position.
Source: RNAcentral
CAGCGUAGCUCAGUGGUAGAGCAGGGGACUCAUAAGCCCUUGGUCGCAGGUUCAAAUCCCGCCGCUGCC